RNAcentral lists this long non-coding RNA (267 nucleotides) under Elaeis guineensis (African oil palm). Its description in RNAcentral is "long non-coding RNA (EGUI_LNC033580)". Lineage: Eukaryota; Viridiplantae; Streptophyta; Magnoliopsida; Arecales; Arecaceae. The record is from RNAcentral.
UGGGUGUCACCAGACCGGGAUAAGGCCUUCUCCCUUUUUAUUUUUUUUCUAGUCUUGUCAUCAUCGAAUUUAGUUCCGAUAAGCCAUCGGAUUCGUGGUGGACAUAGUCUCCCUUGCUCUCUGAUUUUCUCAUUAUUUCACCAACCAUUGGUGGUUGUGGCUGCUAACUGGGUCAUCUCCUAGUCGGCACUGUGCAUCGUCAUUGGCCAUCAACCUAGUUUUUUGGCCCUGGCUAGGUGAAGGGAGGAAGGACAUACAAGCAUUCGA